GUGGGGAAUCUUAGACAAUGGGGGAAACCCUGAUCUAGCCAUGCCGCGUGAGCGAUGAAGGCCUUAGGGUUGUAAAGCUCUUUCAGCUGGGAAGAUAAUGACUGUACCAGCAGAAGAAGCCCCGGCUAACUCCGUGCCAGCAGCCGCGGUAAUACGGAGGGGGCUAGCGUUGUUCGGAAUUACUGGGCGUAAAGCGCACGUAGGCGGACCGGAAAGUCAGAGGUGAAAUACCAGGGCUCAACCUUGGAACUGCCUUUGAAACUCCUGGUAUUGAGGUCGAGAGAGGUGAGUGGAAUUCCGAGUGUAGAGGUGAAAUACGUAGAUAUUCGGGGGAACACCAGUGGCGAAGGCGGCUCACUGGCUCGAUACUGACGCUGAGGUGCGAAAGCGUGGGGAGCAAACAGGAUUAGAAACCCGGGUAGUCC
This 425-nucleotide ribosomal RNA is filed under the name uncultured bacterium. RNAcentral's name for it is "partial 16S ribosomal RNA". It matches the Rfam family "Bacterial small subunit ribosomal RNA", at positions 354 to 796 of the family's 1533-position model. The record is from RNAcentral.